This 2843-nucleotide ribosomal RNA is filed under the name groundwater metagenome. Its description in RNAcentral is "bacterial LSU rRNA". The stretch from base 5 to 2065 matches the Rfam family "Bacterial large subunit ribosomal RNA", at positions 15 to 2044 of the family's 2925-position model. The record is from RNAcentral.
AUUAACGCAGACAGUGGAUGCCUUGGUUGACUCAACCGAUGAAGGACGUACAUGACCGCGAAAGUUGACGGUGAGCUGUCACGAAGCUUUGACCCGUCAGUGUCCGAAUGGAAAAAUCCAUCCCGAUUUAAUCGGGAUAACCUUUAACCAAAUUUCCAAUUUAUUGGAUUAUUAAUUAAUGGUAGGGAACUCGGGGAACUGAAACAUCUAAGUACCCGAUGGAAAAUAAAUUAACAAAGAUUUCGUUAGUAGCGGAGAGCGAAACCGAAACAGCCCAAACCUUGAUCUAGCUUGCUAGAACGAGGGGUUGCGGGACUCAGAUAUUGGAUUAAGUUAAGAUAGAGGAAUAUCUUGGAAUAGAUGAUCAUAGAGAGUGAAAAUCUCGUACUUUAAAUCUUUAACUUACCAUAUGAGUAUCCCAAGUACCAUGCGGCACAUACCGUGUGGGAAUCUAGGAGAACCAUCUUCUAAGGCUAAAUAUUGAGUCAGACCGAUAGUGAACUAGUACCGCGAGGGAAAGGUUAAAAGUAGAGCGAGACGCUCAGUGAAAUAGUACCUGAAACUGUUUGCGAACAAACCGAGAGAGGGGUAAACCGUAAUGGUUCACCCUGAUCUCGUGCCUAUUGAAGAAUGAACCGGCGAGUUGCCAUUAUGUACAAGUUUAAUCCCGAUUUAAUCGGGAGAAGGCGUAGCGAAAGCGAGUCUGAAAGGGCGAAAAAAGUACAUCGUGGCAGACCCGAAACCAGGCGAUCUAACCAUGAGCAGGGUGAACCCCGAUGAAGAUCGGGGGGAGGCCCGAACCCGUUGUUGUUACAAUAACAUGGGACGACUUGUGGUUAGCGGCAAUAUACCAACCGAGCCUGGAGAUAGCUGGUUCUCCCCGAAAGGUCUAUAGGGACCGUGGCCAAAACAACUUGUGAGGUGGUAGAGCUACUGAAUGGGCAGGAGAGCGUAAGCAAUUUUGUCUAAUCAAACUCCGAAUAACUUACAAGAAAGUUGGCUAGACAGCCGUGUCGGGCUAAGCCGAUACGACUAAAGGGAAACAUCCCAGAUUUUCGUCUAAGGCCUCUAAAUUUAUAUUAAGUUUCAAAGGUAGUUUUGUCUCAUAGACAGCCAGGAGGUUGGCUUAGAAGCAGCCAUCCUUUAAAGAAAGCGUAACAGCUCACUGGUCAACGAGACAAAGCGCCGAAAAUUUAUCGAGGAUUAAAUAUAAUGCCGAAGACAAUGAUUUUUUCGCUAAUUUAUUAGCGAGGGAGUGGUAGGGGAGCGUUCUAAACGCAGUGAAGAUAGAUUGUAAAGUCUGUUGGAGUGUUUAGAAGUGAGUAUGCCGGUAUGAGUAGCGCACAAGGCCAGUAAGAAUCUGGCCCGCCGAAUACCCAAGGUUUCCAGAGCUACGUUCGUCGUCUCUGGGUUAGUCGAUACCUAAGGUGAGGCCUAUUUAAUGGGCGUAGCCGAUGGAAGACUGGUUAAAAUUCCAGUAUUUGAUUAAAAGCGUUUGAGUUAGGGACUGACUAGGUGAAUAAGCUAGAGCUUCUUAUUGAAUUGAAGCACAGAAGUGUCAAUAGUUGUGACAGGAAAAUCCGUCGUGACGAUCAAGAAUUGAUGUGGUGUAAAGUUUGCUGAAAGGCAAGCAAUUUUAGCUAAUAAUCUACAAGAAAAGGUUCGUAACAAGUUUUUAAUUAAGUCGUACCGCAAACCGACACAGGUGGGUUAGUCGAGAAGACUAAGGCGAUCGAGAGAAAGAAGUUUAAGGAACUCGGCAAAAAAACUACCCGUAACUUCGGGAGAUGGGUUCCCUGAACCGUUACUGGUUUAGGGGGCACCUAAAGUUUGCUAGUCGACUGUAUAUCAAAAACACAGGUCCCUGCAAAAGCGAAAGCUGAAGUAUAGGGGCUGACGCUUGCCCAGUGCCGGUAAGUUAAGGGGAGGGGUGGUCGCCGCAAGGCAACUGCCUUGAACUCAAGCUCCGGUAAACGGCAGCAGUAACUAUAACUGUUCUACGGUAGGAACUAUAAACGAAUGCCGUAGUAAAAUUUGACUAUAUGCUGGAAGUGCUCAGUAUCUGACAGUACCGAAAGGUAACAAUCUGAUCAAUGGAGUUAAUCAGCAGGAAAGACUUAGAAAGCAAUUUUUAAGAAUCCUCAGACACUAAUACGUCAAACUCUAACGAAAGUUAGAUGAAGAUAGAGUGCGGACUACAUGGCGACAUGUAGAAAAUAAUUAGGUGACUAAUUGUUGAUAACAGAAUCAAGCGAAGUUCCUUGUCGGGUAAAAUACGGAAUUUGCCCGAAUAUUGUGGUAACAUGAUAUGAGUACCUGGCUGUAUCGGUGAAGGCUAAUCAUAAAUUUAUUUAUGGAUGCUAAUACCGAGGGAAGUCAUAAUUGACCCCGUAACGACUGAUCCGAAAGGAGAGUACGGAUUUUUAAUCUGUAAAUACGCCAGCUCUUGUCUAAAAAAACGAAAUAUGGAGUUUUCCUCUUACAUUUCUGGUUUCACAGAUGGCGAAGGAUGUUUUUCAAUAUCCUUCAGUAAACGAUCUAAGUUUAAAGUCGGAAUCGAAGUACGACCCAGUUUUUCUCUGUCACAACAUGAGAGAAAUUUAGAAGUACUUAAAAAGAUUCAUAACUUUUUUAAAGUUGGAAGUAUUAGGUAUUCAAAACGAGAUAGUAAUUUUAAAUAUGAAGUUAGGUCCAUAAAAGAUUUAACUACAAUUAUCAUUCCCUAUUUCGAAAAGAAUCAACUUUUAACUUCAAAAAGACACGAUUUUGAAAUUUUUAGUAAAGUUUGCAAACUCAUUCAAAAGAAUGAGCAUCUAAAAUCAGAAAAAUUGAAUGACAUCAUA